RNAcentral lists this long non-coding RNA (2007 nucleotides) under Salmo salar (Atlantic salmon). Its description in RNAcentral is "lncRNA (ENSSSAG00000112191.1)". Lineage: Eukaryota; Metazoa; Chordata; Actinopteri; Salmoniformes; Salmonidae. The record is from RNAcentral.
CUGAUGGGUACUUUUGAUGGAGCUGACAAACCCUGAGAAUUAUUCAUUGCCAUUUUAGUCUCCAGCUCUUUCAUGUCCAGGGCUUGUGUUUUGGCUGACAGGGUGGCAUUCUUGCUCUUCGCAGUGAUAACAGGGGUCUUCGGGGUGACUCUGGGGACAACAGGGACCAUGGUCUCCUCAGACAAGGGAGAACCCCAGUCAUCAGAGUCUGUCUUCAUGGCCAGCAUUUUGUUGUCCAUUUUGUGGUCCAUUUCCAGCAUCUUCUUCUGCAGGAUGGUCAGGAGCGUGGCCUGGCUGGCUGAGAGGGAGGAGGGUGCCUGGGUGGGAGGUGGCUUGGGUGUGGUCUGAACAGGUAGCUUGGGUUUGACCUCCAUGACGGGAGGCAGGAGUUUGGGAGGGCAUGGAGGUUUGGGUUUUGGAGGAGGGGGGGGCGCAGAGGAGGGAGUUUUGACAGGAACGAUAGGGCUGGCAGUGGGGGGCAGGACUGGAAGGACAGGGGUGGGAAUGAGGUCCAAGACCUUCGGGGGAGGGUCAGGUGGAGGCGUGCUGGGGGGAGACUCCACGACAUCAUCAUGGUCAUCGAAUUCGGGAGGGGGAGGGAGUAAUGGCAAGCAUAGGUCCUCCCUGUUCUCUUCAUUCCUGACAAGGCUAAAGGGUGAAGGAAUCCUCUGCUCUCCACUUUGUUUCUCCACAGCCAGGAGCCCCUGGAAUGCUGGAUUUACAAUUGGCCUCUUUUCCACCACUGACUCAAUGAUCUGGGGUUUUGCUGGAGUCUGGAUCACCACUGGGGGCUGCACUGGGACCACAGACUGUGGAUUAUCUUGAGAGGUCACAGAGGUGAAUGAGGUGGACCUGGGGAUGAUGGUGAAAGAAUUGGGAUUGGAUUCACUGUGCUGGAUGCUGGUGGAUGGCUCAUUACUCUUUGUGCUGUUUUCGCGUGAAAAAGUGGACCUGUGCUUCUCUCGCUCUUUAGCCGCCAUGAGAAGAGCCAGGGGGGAAGUGGCAGGACCAUCCCUCGUCCCAGUGACCGCACUGAACUUUAGGUUGCGCAGUUUACGGUCCAGCAUAGGACUGAACUUGCGACUCCGGUUUGGAUACAUAUCGUGUUUGACCUGGCUAGCUUCUAUGGUUACAGGGGCAGUGACCACCUGAAGCGUUGGUGAUGCUUUAGUGGGUGUUUCGGCAGGUUUGUUGAUAGCCUGCUGUGCUAAUAAAGGCAAAGGCUCCACUUUCACUUCCUCCUGAGUCUCAGGUGGGGUGGGUUGGCCUUGAAGAGUGGCUUGUAAAUUACCCUUUAUCUCCUGCAGGUCUUGCUCCAGCUGCAUACCCGAGCUGUUUCUCCGGGCUGGCUUAGCUGGCGGUGCCACAGAGGGGGCUGUCCCAUUGACCUGGAUGGAGUCAGUAGACCCAGGGUCAUGCAGCAGUAGGAUCUGCUUGUGCCUAUUUUCACCUUCCACCUGCCUAUCUAGAAUGCCGGUCUUAGGAACACUGUAGAGCUUAGCUGUGUUCUGGGGGUUGAAGCUGGAGGGUCUAGGGUUCUGUACAGGGAGAGCUGGGGCUGGAACCUGGGGGAGUUCAUACAUAAUAGGGAUGGAGGACAGCCUCAUUGGCUUUGUAGGCGGUGUCUUCAGGGCUUUCAGAGCAGCUUGCCUCAUGUCUGUAGGGGGCUGUGGAGGGGCAAACUUUGGGGGCUCUGUGAUAUCAGGGACAGUGGUUGGUGGUGGUGUAGAACCGGACAAAGAGGAACUAGAAGCACUGGAGGAAGUUGACGGGGGCUUCGGAGGGGCCAUAGGUGGAAGUUUCAUGGAGGUGAAAACAUUCUUGUCCCCUUCAGAGGGGGCAACUGAUGGUGGUUUUGAUGGUGGUUUUGAUGGGGGUUUUGGAGGGGGCAUGGAGGGAGGCUGAAUGGAGUCGAGGUCACCCAAAAAAUCUGGUGGGGGAGGGUUGAAUAUGGGUGGAGGGGGUGGGGGGGCCAUCGAAGGUGGAGGUGGAAUAAAUAUCUCUCCC